UGGUGAGACACGUCGUAACGAAU
Molecule: microRNA, 23 nt
Filed under: Caenorhabditis elegans
Lineage: Eukaryota; Metazoa; Nematoda; Chromadorea; Rhabditida; Rhabditidae
Description: cel-miR-356b-5p
Gene: cel-miR-356b-5p
Source: miRBase by way of RNAcentral